AGAAUCAACGCUGGCGGCGUGCCUAACACAUGCAAGUCGAUCGAGAAAGUGGAGCAAUCCAUGAGUAAAGAGGCGCACGGGUGAGUAACACGUGACUAACCUACCUUCGAGUGGGGAAUAACCUGGGGAAACCCGGGCUAAUACCGCAUAACACCUACGGGUCAAAGGAGCAAUUCGCUUGAAGAGGGGGUCGCGGCAGAUUAGUUAGUUGGCGGGGUAAUGGCCCACCAAGACGAUGAUCUGUA
This 245-nucleotide ribosomal RNA is filed under the name uncultured bacterium. RNAcentral's name for it is "partial small subunit ribosomal RNA". It matches the Rfam family "Bacterial small subunit ribosomal RNA", at positions 26 to 285 of the family's 1533-position model. The record is from RNAcentral.